RNAcentral lists this transfer RNA (77 nucleotides) under Fusobacterium animalis. It matches the Rfam family "tRNA". Rfam says of the family: Transfer RNA (tRNA) molecules are approximately 80 nucleotides in length. Their secondary structure includes four short double-helical elements and three loops (D, anti-codon, and T loops). Further hydrogen bonds mediate the characteristic L-shaped molecular structure. tRNAs have two regions of fundamental functional importance: the anti-codon, which is responsible for specific mRNA codon recognition, and the 3' end, to which the tRNAs corresponding amino acid is attached (by aminoacyl-tRNA synthetases). tRNAs cope with the degeneracy of the genetic code in two manners: having more than one tRNA (with a specific anti-codon) for a particular amino acid; and 'wobble' base-pairing, i.e. permitting non-standard base-pairing at the 3rd anti-codon position. Lineage: Bacteria; Fusobacteriati; Fusobacteriota; Fusobacteriia; Fusobacteriales; Fusobacteriaceae. RNAcentral also lists the same sequence under 4 other names. The record is from RNAcentral.
GGGGGUGUAGCUCAGUUGGUUAGAGUGCCUGCCUGUCACGCAGGAGGUCGCGAGUUCGAGUCUCGUCACUCCCGCCA